Non-coding RNA from Camellia sinensis, 555 nucleotides. The record is from RefSeq and is a predicted model, not a curated record. NCBI's taxonomy places the organism in Eukaryota, Viridiplantae, Streptophyta, Magnoliopsida, Ericales, Theaceae.
UCGCAUUCUAUGCUUUCUUUGCCCCUUUCCUUGGAGGCCAAAUCUGGGAGUAUGCCUUGUUUGGCACUUAUUCGCUGGUGGUGCGCAAGUUCAGCAAACACUGCAGAAGUUGUGAUAAAUGUGUGGAUGGAUUUGAUCACCAUUGUCGGAUGUUUUUGGACAUACAAAAGUGGAUAUGUUUUUGUUGACAAGUACGUGAGGACAUUGUGGUACAAAAGUGGAUAUGUUUUUAUAUAGUGGUUUGUACAAAAUAUUUUUUUGGUAGAGUAAAUAUCAGCUAAUUUGGUAGAAAUUAACAUAGCACGUGGUACAAAAUAGUUUUGUGGCAGUAUAGAAUAUAAUUUUUGUUGUGGUACAGAAGUUAUAGGUGUACAAUUAAUUUCGUUAUUCCAGUAUUAUGUAUGGAAUUAAAUUCUUGACGUGGGAUUAGACAUGGUUCUUAUGAAAUUUGUAAUAUAUAUAUAAGUGGACGUUCAAUAUUAAUUUUUUGGAUGGUUGGAACUGAAAUGUGUGCACGUUGUUGAAUGCUUGAUAACAUAUUUACCGUUGAUGGAU